This 499-nucleotide ribosomal RNA is filed under the name uncultured bacterium. RNAcentral describes it as "partial 16S ribosomal RNA". It matches the Rfam family "Bacterial small subunit ribosomal RNA", at positions 28 to 523 of the family's 1533-position model. The record is from RNAcentral.
GCUGAACGCUAGCGGCAGGCUUAAUACAUGCAAGUAGAACGGGAUUGAGAAACUUGCUUUUCAUGAGAGUGGCGCACGGGUGCGUAACACGUAUGCAACCUACCUUGUCCAGGGGCAUAGCCCGUCGAAAGACGGAUUAAGACCGCAUAACAUUGAGCUGUGGCAUCACAAAUCAAUCAAAUAUUUAUAGGGACAAGAUGGGCAUGCGCCCUGAUUAGGUAGUUGGCGGGGUAAUGGCCCACCAAGCCGACGAUCAGUGGGGGAUCUGAGAGGGUGCCCCCCCGCACUGGUACGGAGACACGGCCCAGACUCCGCCGGGAGGCGGCAGUACGGAAUAUGGUUCACGGGGCGAAAGCCUGAACCAGCCAUGCCGCGUGCAGGAAGGCGGCCCUACGGGUUGUAAACUGCUUGCAUACGGGAAUAACCCCGGUUUCGUGAAACCGGCUGAAUGUACCGUAAGAAUAAGGAUCGGCUAACUCCGUGCCAGCAGCCGCCGUAA